UACGGGGGGGGCAAGCGUUGUUCGGAAUUACUGGGCGUAAAGGGCUCGUAGGCGGCCAACUAAGUCAGACGUGAAAUCCCUCGGCUUAACCGGGGAACUGCGUCUGAUACUGGAUGGCUUGAGUUUGGGAGAGGGAUGCGGAAUUCCAGGUGUAGCGGUGAAAUGCGUAGAUAUCUGGAGGAACACCGGUGGCGAAGGCGGUGGUCUGGGCCGGAACUGACGCUGAGGAGCGAAAGCGUGGGGAGCGAACAGG
Molecule: ribosomal RNA, 253 nt
Filed under: uncultured bacterium
Lineage: Bacteria
Description: partial 16S ribosomal RNA
Rfam family: Bacterial small subunit ribosomal RNA
Source: RNAcentral